Non-coding RNA from Myxocyprinus asiaticus (Chinese sucker), 427 nucleotides. The record is from the annotation of a RefSeq genome assembly. Lineage: Eukaryota; Metazoa; Chordata; Actinopteri; Cypriniformes; Catostomidae.
CAACACAAUCUUCAUCAUCACACAACACACAACAAUGAUAUUCAUCACCUUCUUCAUCUGGACUCUCACGGUGUUUGCUCGAGAGUGUGAUGGACAGAUCACAGUCACUCAGAGUCCCUCAAUAACAGCAGCUCAACCAGGAGAAGUUGUUAAAAUAAACUGUAAAACCAGCAGUAACGUCUACUGGGAGAGUACUUAUGGCUCCCGCUUAGGCUGGUACUUACAGAAAUCUGGAGAAGCUCCUAAACUCCUCAUUUAUCUGGCCAACAGAGUGCAGUCUGGAACUCCAUCUAGAUUCAGUGGCAGUGGAUCUGAUAGUGAUUUCACUCUGACCAUCAGUGGAGUCCAGACUGAAGAUGCAGGACAUUAUUACUGUCAGAGUGAACACUACAUCAACAGUAAAGAUGUGUUCACACAGUGAUAAAGA